RNAcentral lists this ribosomal RNA (436 nucleotides) under uncultured bacterium. RNAcentral's name for it is "bacterial SSU rRNA". It matches the Rfam family "Bacterial small subunit ribosomal RNA", at positions 958 to 1392 of the family's 1533-position model. The record is from RNAcentral.
AACGCGAAGAACCUUACCAGUUAUUGGCAUGGCGUUUAAAUCGUGGUACGAGCCGGGGCUCCCGCAAGGGGGCCGUUACCGGUGCUGCAUGGGUGUCGUCAGCUCGUGUGGUGAGAUGUGGUGUUAAGUCCCAGCAACGAGCGCAACCCUUGCCUUCAGUUGCCAUCUGGUAGGGCCGGGCACUCUGAAGGAACUGCCGGUGACAAGCCGGAGGAAGGUGGGGAUGACGUCAAGUCCUCAUGGCCCUUAUCGGNNGGGCUACACACGUGCUACAAUGGCGGUGACAGUGGGAAGCGAAGCAGCAAUGUGGAGCUAAUCCCCAAAAGCCGUCUCACUUCCCAUCGAAGGCUGCAACUCUACCAACCGAAGGUGGAAUCGCUAGUAAUCAAUAAUCACCAUGCCCUUGUGAAUACCGACCCGGGUCUUGUACACACCG